UACGGGGGGGGCAAGCGUUGUUCGGAAUUACUGGGCGUAAAGGGCGCGUAGGCGGCCUGCUAAGUCGAACGUGAAAUCCCUGGGCUCAACCCAGGAACUGCGUCCGAUACUGGUUGGCUUGAAUCCGGGAGAGGGAUGUGGAAUUCCAGGUGUAGCGGUGAAAUGCGUAGAUAUUCGGAGGAACACCAGUGGCGAAGGCGGCUCGCUGGCUCGAUACUGACGCUGAGGUGCGAAAGCGUGGGGAGCAAACAGG
This 253-nucleotide ribosomal RNA is filed under the name uncultured bacterium. Its description in RNAcentral is "partial 16S ribosomal RNA". It matches the Rfam family "Bacterial small subunit ribosomal RNA", at positions 524 to 776 of the family's 1533-position model. The record is from RNAcentral.